GACGAACGCUGGCGGCGUGCUUAACACAUGCAAGCCGAACGGUAAGGCCCUUCGGGGUACACGAGUGGCGAACGGGUGAGUAACACGUGGGUGAUCUGCCCUGCACUUCGGGAUAAGCCUGGGAAACUGGGUCUAAUACCGGAUAGGACCACUGCCUGCAUGGGUGGUGGUGGAAAGCUUUUGCGGUGUGGGAUGGGCCCGCGGCCUAUCAGCUUGUUGGUGGGGUGAUGGCCUACCAAGGCGACGACGGGUAGCCGGCCUGAGAGGGUGACCGGCCACACUGGGACGGGGAUACGGCCCAGACUCCUACGGGAGGCAGCAGUGGGGAAUAUUGCCCAAUGGGCGCAAGCCUGAUGCAGCGACGCCGCGUGAGGGAUGACGGCCUUCGGGUUGUAAACCUCUUUCAGCACCGACGAAGCGCAAGUGACGGUAGGUGCAGAAGAAGGACCGGCCAACUACGUGCCAGCCGCCGCAGUAA
Molecule: ribosomal RNA, 478 nt
Filed under: uncultured bacterium
Lineage: Bacteria
Description: partial 16S ribosomal RNA
Rfam family: Bacterial small subunit ribosomal RNA
Source: RNAcentral